CGACGUCGCGAGAAGUCCACUGAACCUUAUCAUUUAGAGGAAGGAGAAGUCGUAACAAGGUUUCCGUAGGUGAACCUGCGGAAGGAUCAUUGUCGAUGCCUAAACAUCAAACGACCCGUGAACACGUUUACAAACAAAUUGUUCGUGUCAGGGGUGGGGGAAGCAUGCUCUUUUGCUUGCCCCUCCAUCCCUAGCACGCUUAAACCAAACCCCGGCGCAGGUCGCGCCAAGGAACAUGAAAUGAAUUCGCUUGCCCCUUGCCCCGGCCUCGGAGUGCGAGGGGUGGAGCAUUCUUGUCGUAUUACUCACAACGACUCUCGGCAACGGAUAUCUCGGCUCUCGCAUCGAUGAAGAACGUAGCGAAAUGCGAUACUUGGUGUGAAUUGCAGGAUCCCGCGAACCACCGAGUCUUUGAACGCAAGUUGCGCCCGGAGCCUUUUGGCCGAGGGCACGUCUGCCUGGGCGUCACGCAUCACUGCCCCCCAUGCAACACCCCAUGCGGGCUCGUAGCACUGGUUGGGCACAUGUUGGCCUCCCGUGUGCACCGUCGCACGGAUGGCUUAAAUUUGAGUCCUUGGCGCAUGUCGUCGCGACACUACGGUGGUUGAUUCAACCUCAGUACCAUGUCACGGCCUCAACGCCCAUCUGUGGACUCUUUCAAUGACCCUCUGAACGACAUCCCCCAAAGGAUGGCGCUCUCGACGCGACCCCAGGUCAGGCGGGACUACCCGCUGAGUUUAAGCAUAUCAAUAAGCGGAGG
RNAcentral lists this ribosomal RNA (760 nucleotides) under Melothria sphaerocarpa. RNAcentral describes it as "eukaryotic LSU rRNA". The stretch from base 313 to 468 matches the Rfam family "5.8S ribosomal RNA". Lineage: Eukaryota; Viridiplantae; Streptophyta; Magnoliopsida; Cucurbitales; Cucurbitaceae. The record is from RNAcentral.